AGAGUUUGAUCCUGGCUCAGGACGAACGCUGGCGGCGUGCCUAAUACAUGCAAGUCGAGCGGAUCUUCCCUUCGGGGAAGGUUAGCGGCGGACGGGUGAGUAACACGUAGGCAACCUGCCUGUAAGACCGGGAUAACCCACGGAAACGUGAGCUAAGACCGGAUAGUUGGUUUCCUUGCAUGAGGGAAUCAGGAAAGACG
This 200-nucleotide ribosomal RNA is filed under the name uncultured bacterium. RNAcentral describes it as "partial 16S ribosomal RNA". It matches the Rfam family "Bacterial small subunit ribosomal RNA", at positions 8 to 210 of the family's 1533-position model. The record is from RNAcentral.